AAUAUUGGACAAUGGGCGAAAGCCUGAUCCAGCCAUGCCGCGUGAGUGAUGAAGGCCCUAGGGUUGUAAAGCUCUUUCAGUGGUGAAGAUAAUGACGGUAACCACAGAAGAAGCCCCGGCUAACUUCGUGCCAGCAGCCGCGGUAAUACGGAGGGGGCUAGCGUUGUUCGGAUUUACUGGGCGUAAAGCGCACGUAGGCGGAUUGGUCAGUUAGGGGAGAACUCCCGGAGCUCAACUCCGGAACUGCCUUUAAUACUGCCAGUAGAGGGAGCGAGAGGGGUAAAGGGAACCCCUAGUGUAGAGGUAGAAUUCAUAGAUAUUAGGGAGAACAGCAGUGGCAGAGGCGGCUUACUGGCUCGGAACUGACGCUGAGGUGAGAAAGCGUGGGGAGCAAAC
RNAcentral lists this ribosomal RNA (396 nucleotides) under uncultured bacterium. Its description in RNAcentral is "partial 16S ribosomal RNA". It matches the Rfam family "Bacterial small subunit ribosomal RNA", at positions 360 to 773 of the family's 1533-position model. The record is from RNAcentral.